UAUUAUUAUUUUAUUUUAUUAUUUUUUUUGAAAAAAAAACAAAGAAAGGAAAGUCACUCACGUGACUUUCUUUCUUCUUUCCUUUUUUUUUUCUUUCUUUCUUUUUGUUUUUCUUCUUUCUUUUCUUUUUUCUUAUUAUUUUUAUUUGUUAUUUGUUAAGUCUUUAUCCCCAAGUCUCCAAAAGGGGUAUUUUGGUCUUUGAUCUGUAUCAGAGCCAACCCUAUUUUGUCACUAUAAAUACACUGUCCAAUCAUUGGGAAGAGGGUCCAAAAAUUCACUGUUCACACGCGUCAGAGUCAGAAAACGGGUCAGAUUGGUCCCUAUCAUACCACAAACACUUUUCCCUUUCUCUCUCAUCCAAAUUCCAGAUCUAACACUAAAAAAUCAAAGAAAAUGAUGAACAUUCAUAUGAGUUCAUCAUAAACCUUCAUUUUUUUUCCAGAAAUUUACCUCAAACCUCACGUAAUCCCGAACAACAGUCACGAAUCAUUUCAUUUCACCCAUACACAAGGUGUUUCAUUCUCGGAUCUAGAACAACACAAACCAUACCAAACCGUAAAUCCAACCCAAACCAAACCGGUUCCAAGCUUCAAAGAACCAGAUCGGAGCUAAAUAGACCGGAUUCGCGAGAAAGAAAACGGAACGCGCACAUAAAGAAAGAACAAGAGCAAAUCGGACCAGAAACAACAACAACAAAGCAAAAAGAGGUAAAAAAAUUUCAAAUCUUCAUUUGUAGAUCUAGCUCAAAUCUCUCUACCCUUUUUAAAACUAACACCGGAUUUGUAUAGAGGAGAAGGAGAAGAAGCUUUUGAUGUAAAAAAAUUUCAAAAA
Molecule: long non-coding RNA, 831 nt
Filed under: Medicago truncatula (barrel medic)
Lineage: Eukaryota; Viridiplantae; Streptophyta; Magnoliopsida; Fabales; Fabaceae
Description: long non-coding RNA (MTRU_LNC000548)
Source: RNAcentral